RNAcentral lists this ribosomal RNA (535 nucleotides) under Megaleporinus macrocephalus. RNAcentral describes it as "partial small subunit ribosomal RNA". It matches the Rfam family "Bacterial small subunit ribosomal RNA", at positions 657 to 1402 of the family's 1533-position model. The record is from RNAcentral. Lineage: Eukaryota; Metazoa; Chordata; Actinopteri; Characiformes; Anostomidae.
UGAAGCCAAAGGCCUACCAAGCUGUUACACGCACCCCGAAGGCACGAAGUCCUAACACGAAAGUAGCUUCACCACCACCCCAACACCACGAAAGCUAAGAAACAAACUGGGAUUAGAUACCCCACUAUGCUUAGCCUUAAACCCAGAUGUUAAACUUACAAACAACAUCCGCCAGGGUACUACGAGCGCUAGCUUAAAACCCAAAGGACUUGACGGUGUCUCAGACCCGCCUAGAGGAGCCUGUUCUAGAACCGAUAAUCCCCGUUAAACCCCACCACCCCUUGCUUUUCCCGCCUAUAUACCGCCGUCGCAAGCUUACCCCAUGAGGGACCCACAGUAAGCAAAAAGGGUAUAACCCAGAACGUCAGGUCGAGGUGUAGCUUACGAGGUGGAAAGAAAUGGGCUACAUUUUCUUUAACAGAACACUACGGACAACACCAUGAAACUGGUGUUUAAAGGUGGAUUUAGUAGUAAAAAACAAAUAGAGUGUGUUUUUGAACUAGGCUCUGAGACGCGCACACACCGCCCGUCACUC